GGGUUGUGAGGUUAAGCGACUAAGCGUACACGGUGGAUGCCCUGGCAGUCAGAGGCGAUGAAGGACGUGCUAAUCUGCGAUAAGCGCCGGUAAGGUGAUAUGAACCGUUAUAACCGGCGAUUUCCGAAUGGGGAAACCCAGUGUGACUCGUCACACUAUCAUUAACUGAAUCCAUAGGUUAAUGAGGCGAACCGGGGGAACUGAAACAUCUAAGUACCCCGAGGAAAAGAAAUCAACCGAGAUUCCCCCAGUAGCGGCGAGCGAACGGGGAGGAGCCCAGAGCCUGAAUCAGCAUGUGUGUUAGUGGAAGCGUCUGGAAAGGCGCGCGAUACAGGGUGACAGCCCCGUACACAAAAGCGCAUGUGCUGUGAGCUCGAUGAGUAGGGCGGGACACGUGGUAUCCUGUCUGAAUAUGGGGGGACCAUCCUCCAAGGCUAAAUACUCCUGACUGACCGAUAGUGAACCAGUACCGUGAGGGAAAGGCGAAAAGAACCCCGGCGAGGGGAGUGAAAAAGAACCUGAAACCGUGUACGUACAAGCAGUGGGAGCACAGGUUUACCUGUGUGACUGCGUACCUUUUGUAUAAUGGGUCAGCGACUUAUAUUCUGUAGCAAGGUUAACCGAAUAGGGGAGCCGGAGGGAAACCGAGUCUUAAUUGGGCGUUAAGUUGCAGGGUAUAGACCCGAAACCCGGUGAUCUAGCCAUGGGCAGGUUGAAGGUUGGGUAACACUAACUGGAGGACCGAACCGACUAAUGUUGAAAAAUUAGCGGAUGACCUGUGGCUGGGGGUGAAAGGCCAAUCAAACCGGGAGAUAGCUGGUUCUCCCCGAAAGCUAUUUAGGUAGCGCCUCGUGAACUCAUCUCCGGGGGUAGAGCACUGUUUCGGCUAGGGGGCCAUCCCGGCUUACCAACCCGAUGCAAACUGCGAAUACCGGAGAAUGUUAUCACGGGAGACACACGGCGGGUGCUAACGUCCGUC
RNAcentral lists this ribosomal RNA (979 nucleotides) under Salmonella enterica subsp. enterica serovar Montevideo. RNAcentral describes it as "partial 23S ribosomal RNA". It matches the Rfam family "Bacterial large subunit ribosomal RNA", at positions 1 to 1009 of the family's 2925-position model. Lineage: Bacteria; Pseudomonadati; Pseudomonadota; Gammaproteobacteria; Enterobacterales; Enterobacteriaceae. The record is from RNAcentral.